UUUUUUAUGAAGGACCUAUCAUAUAUUUGUUGCCAAAUUGGGCCAAAUCAUUUUUCUAAAAUAGUAGACCAUAUUUAACGUAUAAUUUAUCAAAUGAUUGGGUGUUAAAAGUUUUUAUCCACCUCUCGUGAAAAAGACAUUUAUUGUCGAUUCAUUUGGAAGCGGGUUAAAUUUGAACUGCAACUACAUUAUAUUUUGCUCUUUAU
This 206-nucleotide long non-coding RNA is filed under the name Hordeum vulgare. RNAcentral's name for it is "long non-coding RNA (HVUL_LNC018701)". Lineage: Eukaryota; Viridiplantae; Streptophyta; Magnoliopsida; Poales; Poaceae. The record is from RNAcentral.